UACGGGGGGGGCAAGCGUUGUUCGGAAUUACUGGGCGUAAAGGGUCUGUAGGUGGCUUGCUAAGUCAGACGUGAAAUCCCUCGGCUUAACCGGGGAACUGCGUCUGAUACUGGAUGGCUUGAGUUUGGGAGAGGGACGCGGAAUUCCAGGUGUAGCGGUGAAAUGCGUAGAUAUCUGGAGGAACACCGGUGGCGAAGGCGGCGUCCUGGACCAAUACUGACACUGAGGAGCGAAAGCCAGGGGAGCAAACGGG
This 253-nucleotide ribosomal RNA is filed under the name uncultured bacterium. Its description in RNAcentral is "partial 16S ribosomal RNA". It matches the Rfam family "Bacterial small subunit ribosomal RNA", at positions 524 to 776 of the family's 1533-position model. The record is from RNAcentral.